This 30094-nucleotide long non-coding RNA is filed under the name Eucalyptus grandis. RNAcentral's name for it is "long non-coding RNA (EGRA_LNC003185)". The record is from RNAcentral. Lineage: Eukaryota; Viridiplantae; Streptophyta; Magnoliopsida; Myrtales; Myrtaceae.
GGGUGAUGAAGCUAUAGAAAAUGAAAGCAAAUAAAUGGAGGUGAAAGAAGGACGGGGUGCUACAGUAGAAAUGGAGAAUGCGUGAGGGGGGAGAAAAGGAAAAGAAGAGGGGAGGUGAUGUCGUCGAGAGCAGAAAAGGGGGGAAGAGGAGAGAGAAAGAAUAAAGUAAUGGAGGGGAAGUUGCGGGGUAAUUGCAGUAGAAGGGUUGGCGUAGGUGAGGGGGUGGAAAAGUGGGAGAGAGAGAGAGGGAGAAAAAGAAGAAAGAGAGAAGAAAAGACAACAGAAGAAGUUACCGUAAGUGAGGGGGUGGAAAUUGCGUGCGAAGGAGGGGGAUGCGUGAAGGAGAAGAGAAAGAGGAGAGAGAGAGAAGAAAAAGAAUAAUAGUAAUAUCGUUAUCAUUUUUCUCUUUCUUUCAAUCACCGAUUUUUCAUGCGAUAAUUUUUUUUUCCGAAAUUUCGGGAUGUCACACCUAGGCUACCAAAUAGAUAAAAACCAAUCCAUGGAUUUUUUUUUUUCCUUUUAUGAUCAAGUUUUCAAUGAAACAAAUGCACUCUUAUCAUAUUAUUGUAACAUUUAAUGUAUUGAACUCGCAAUACCUUCUUAAUUGAUUUUUUUUGGGAAAAGUGUCAAUUUAAUCUUUAACUUUUAAUUAUAUCAAUUUAGUCAUAAAACCUUUUAAUCUGAUAUCAAUUCAAUUAUUCUAGCUAAUUUUUGCUAAAUAUUGUUAACGUGGAUAAUUUUUUAAAAUAUAUAUUUUAAUUUUUUUGAAUAUUUUUAUGAAUUUUGUCUUUUCUUUCCUUCUUUUUUCUUCCUUUCUUUUUCCUUCUUCACCUAGGUGAGAGUCAUCGUUGCCUGCUAGAGGCAAGGCUUGAUCGGGUGAGGGCCAAGUGAGGGAUCCCCUCACCCAAGCCAUGGCAACCUUAUUGGGUGUCACCUUUGCUUAGGUGACGGUUGGCCUUACCAGAUCUAGCAAAAGAAGCCCUUGGCUGGUUGAGUGUCACCUUUGGUGAGUAAUGAUAACCCUUGCCCAAGUGAGGCCAACUCACCCGGCUAUGGCCAAUGGCCAAUCAACAACAAAAGGAAGAAGAAAUGAAGAAAAAAGAAAAAAAUAUAUUAUUAAAAAUUAUUCAUGUCAACAAUAUCCCAUUAAAAUUAGUUAAAUUGGCACUAAAUAAAAAUUUUAUAAAUAAAUUGACACAAUUGAAAAGUUUAAAACUAAAUUGGCAUAUAUGUAAUAAGUUUAUGAAUUUUCUAACACUUUUCCCUUGAUUUUUUUUAUAUUAUUACUACACUUUUAUGUCUAAUGUGCAUACCAAAUCACAAUUGUUUCGGGGUGUUUUAAAUUUACAAUGUAAAUAUUUUUAUGAAAUGGUUUUUCAAACUUUCCUGCAUUUAGUUUGUUGAGAGUAUGGUAAAAAGAAAUGCUUUCAUGUUGUUGGAUUGCCAAAAAAACUCUCUAUUGGUAUUCCCUCCUGUUUGUUUAUUUGCUGUGGUAUCACUCUUCAAGUUCUUUUUUUGGAAUGGAGAACCAUUCUCAUGUGAAGUUUUAUGAGAAUUGAAAGAUUAAGUUUGCAAAUGAUUACAUUUAUCUUGUUUUGGCAUCUUUUUUAGGUUGUUUUAUUUCAAUAAAAAAAGGUAAUAUUCGUAUCCAAAAUAUUAGUAAUAUAAUCUUAGUAUCUUAUAUUAAGAACAAAAUAUAAUUAUCAUAAAAAUGAUUAUUUUUUAAAAUAAGAUCUAAACACCAAAAGUCAAUUCAAGUGAAAGUUUCUCUAGCCGGUGUUGUGGUCCAAUCAACAUCCCUCUGUUAAGAAGGCUAUUUCUAUGGUCGCUCAAUAGUACACAUCAAUUGACUUGAGAACAGUGUCAAGAAGAAACACACCCUAAUAUAUUAGCUAGUGAACAUUGAUCUAUGUUCAUCAGCUAAUAUAUAAGUGGAUCUACUCAUGUAUCAAAUCAACUAUGAGGGUAGCAACGCACUAGGUCAAGGCUCGGGUAGGAAGUGGAGGGUGCAAAGGGCUUUGUAGGCUAAGCCUAGAGUGAUUUUUCGGCACGCCCAAAUAGAUAGAGACUAAAUUUUAUGGGCUCAAUCAGUGGCCUAGACCUAAAUCACAAAUUAUUUGGGUGAAUCAGUUCGGUGGGGCUAUUUCAGGUCAAAGCCCAACUUUUCCAAGAAUGAAGUUUGUUUAUUUAUUGUCAAAUUUGAAAACUUCGAUAAGCAACGGACUAAUUAAUGUGAAGUUAUUUAUAACUAUAUAAAUGUCACCUAAAGAAAUGGAAUCUACGCACCUCAAUUUUGAUGGGACAUAAGCUUAGAUUAGGGUAGAGUUAAUUGUCCCGCAAACACAAUCAAAAUAAGACACUGUCAGAACUUGUUUAAGGUUCAAUAAUCAAAUAUAAUUCAUCUACUUAAAUGGCUUAGUGAACUAAUCUCAAAGUUUGGUUUGAUAUAAAUUCAAAGUAAAUAAAAGUAUAGGGGCAAUAUUACACAUUGAACAUACAAUUAAUAAUGAUAGUACUAAUAAAAGGCCAUUGCUUUUGGUGGGAAGAAGUAUUCAGAGUUCACGUAUAAUCACUUGAAAGUGGUGCUUAGACCAGAAAAGAUACUAAAGAUUUGGCCUUUCCUCAGCACGGCUGAGUUUACGUAUGGAACCUUCACCCGUGUUCUCUCGCCAACCCAAAUCGCACGGCCUUAAAUCAUUUGAUUGCACCACACUUGGACUUCGUUUGAUGUCUUGGAUAACACGUGAGGAAUCCGAAUUUGUGGACAGAACUGUGCAACUAUGACGCUGAGUCAAAUUUGAACAGCGGCGAGGAAUAAGCCCCCCGUGGAACAGUCAAUGAAGAUGUGGUCUUCUGAAAACCCUCGUGUUUCAGCCCCCUUUGAGGACCAAGGCCUCUUGGCUCAUCGGAAAUCUAGUUCAUCUAUCCUUACAUCUGCAGAAAGUGCAGAAUCAACCGAUCCACCAAACUCACUAGGUUCAUUCAGUCAUUCUUAUCAUGCGGCUCAUGAUUUCUUGGUGCUCUUGCUUGGUCAUCUUCUGCCUUCUGCAGGCAAGUCAUAGGACCAGCGGUGUAGCUUACAAUAUUACUCCAUCGGAGCCGCUCUUUCCGAACCAAACUCUUGUCUCCUCUGGCAAUAUAUUCGAGCUUGGGUUCUUCACGCUGAGCGGGUCAGAAAAUCAGUAUAUUGGCAUACGGUACAAGAACUUGACGCCUUCUAAGAUUGUGUGGGUGGCCAAUAGGGAACAGCCACUUCCGUACACGGAUCGGUCUGCAAAAUUAACGAUAGGCAGUGAUGGGAAUUUGAAGCUCAUGGAUGGACAAGAAAAUAUAGUUUGGUCUACCAAUGUCUCUAGUCGGUCCAAUUAUACGUUGGCGGUGCUAUUAGAUAGUGGGAAUUUUGUUCUGCAAGAUGGCAUUUAUGGCGAAAUAUGGGGAAGCUUCGAGGAUCCGACAGACACUCUUCUUCCAACAAUGAAGAUAGGAGUAAAUGUCAGGACUGGAGUGAAAAAGUUCUUAAUUUCCUGGAGAAGCGACAGUGAUCCAUUCCCUGGAAGUUUCUCGACUGGAAUGACAUCCGAGACGCCGCCUCAAGCUUUCACUUGGAAUGGUUUGACCCCUUACUGGAGAGGCGGGCAAUGGGACAAAUCGAAAUUUAUCGGCAUAGCAACCAUGGACCAAUCAUACUCGAGUGGCUUCACUGUCCAGCAGGAUACUCAAAAGGGAACCACUUACUAUUCGGUAAAUAGAUACGAUAUCUUUCUAUACAUGUUCAUUUCUCCCGGAGGAUCUCUCACGAUAAUGUACUGGGAUGAUGGAGCUAGGGCAUGGUUGAUGGAUUGGGCAGCACCGAACAAUACUUGUGAGAUUUAUGGAACUUGUGGUCCAUUUGGAGUUUGUAACUCAUUGAAUUCGCCUAUUUGCAGAUGCAUAGAUGGGUUUGUGCCAAAGUCAAAUGAAGAAUGGAACAGUUUAAACUGGACCAGAGGAUGUGAAAGAGAGAUGGAAUUGAAUUGCCAGAAAAACACAAGCACAUCGACUUAUACAAAUGUAAAGAAAGAUGCAUUUUGGCAAAUGAGCCAGAUGAAACUACCCGACUCUGGGAACUAUAUAUCAGACAUUGGAGAUGAAGAAGAAUGUGAAAGCUGGUGCCGGAGCAAUUGUUCUUGCUUGGCUUAUUCUUACGUCAGCACCAUUGGAUGCAUGGUUUGGAGUAAAGACCUCAUUGAUCUUCAGGAAUUUCCCACAGCUGGGGAAGAUCUAUUUGUUCGAGUUGCACAUGUAAAAGCAGGUUAGAAAUUUGUUUCAUUAAGAUGAGUUUGAGUCGACACCAAUCAUCUUUUACAUAACUCUCUUUCCCAUUUCAGGAGGAUCGCGACACAAAGCAGUUAUCAUCAGCCUGAGUACUAUUGCAGGGAUUAUUUUCUUUGCAGUAUUUGUUUUUGUUCUUUGCAAAUGGAGAGCUAACAAAACAGGUACUAUUGAAAAGCUAUAUCAGUGUUGUUAGAGUAAUGUGCACGCUAUGAAAAAAGUAAGCUAAUUCUUCAUCAAUGAUAAACACAGGAAACUUUCGAAGGCUCCUUGACUCAGCAGAUACACCUGAAAAAUCGACCGAGCUGACACAAGGAAAUGCAUGGCAAAAGCAGUUGAAGCAAGAUGAUUCACUGGAAUUGACCCUUUAUAGUUUUGAUAGCAUACUACUUGCUACAAACAAGUUCAGCACGACAAGUAAACUCGGGCAAGGAGGGUUUGGCUCUGUUUAUAAGGUAAGACCAUUCUGCAGGACAUUGUUAAUGAAAAUAUUUCAAGGUCUAAAAGCUAUGUGAAUUACGAAACAGGGGAAGCUGAAAGAUGGGAAAGAGGUAGCUGUGAAAAGACUUUCCAGUACCUCAGCCCAAGGCGUUGAAGAGUUCAAGAAUGAGAUCAUCCUUAUAUCGAAACUCCAGCAUCGAAAUCUUGUUAAACUCGUGGGUUACUGCAUUGAAGGAGAAGAAAAGAUUUUGGUAUAUGAGUACUUGUCGAAUAAAAGCUUGGACACCUUUCUUUUUGGUUGGUCUUUUUUAUUUAUUUAUUUAUCUCGGAUUAACUAUUUUUCUAUAAUGUAUUUUCUGCCAUAGCAUAUAAACUUGAAAACUAUUCCUGUCUGUCAUGUUUGUUAGAUUCAAGAAAGAAGGCAGAACUUGACUGGGGCAAACGAUUUCAAAUAAUUCAGGAGAUUGCAAGGGGGCUGCUCUACCUCCAUCGAGAUUCUUGCCUUAGGGUCAUACAUCGAGACUUGAAAGUAAGCAACAUUCUCUUGGAUGAAAAGAUGAACCCGAAAAUUUCAGAUUUUGGGCUAGCACGAAUGUUUGAGGGCACUCAAGUUUUGGUGAACACUCAAAAAAUUGUUGGAACACUGUAAGCUCUCUAGGCCUAUUUGAAUUAUCAAUUCAUUGAGUCAAUCUCUUCAAGCAGACAGAAAUGAUUGAUUUACCACAACGAACAUCUCUGUUCAUGCAUUUUUAUCCCCAUUGUCUAUCAAUACAAUCAAAGAGUACAUAAACAUGUUUAACUUAACUGCAGUGGCUAUAUGUCUCCUGAGUACGCCAUGGGUGGAAUAUUUUCCGAGAGGUCCGAUGUCUAUAGCUUUGGAGUGUUGCUACUUGAGAUAGUAAGCGGCAAAAAGAACACGGCCCUGUAUGACCAGGGACAUCUGAAUCUCCUUUCCUACGUACGUCCCAAAUUCCAAACUUAAUCAAUAUCGUAAGUUUGCUGCAAUAUUAUGACAGUGUUCUCACUUACAGGCAUGGCAAUUGUGGAGUGAUGGCAAAGCAUUGGACCUAACGGAUGUAGCAAUGGCUGUUAGCUCUCAUUUGGAGGUAACGAGAUGCAUCCAUGUUGGGCUUCUCUGUGUUCAGGACCAUGCCACGGAUAGACCAAACAUGUCGAAUGUGGUUCUGAUGUUAAGUGGCGAGUCAGAUCUUCCUCAGCCGAGGCAGCCUAUAUUCACUUUCCAAGCUGAAAUGCCAAAUCGUUCUAUUCCAUCACAGCAAGAAAGCAUCCGGUCUGUUAACACUAUCACUAAUACAGUGGUCGAAGGAAGAUGACUAUCUAUUUUCAUUUUUCUUUUUCUUUUUUUUGGAGAUGACUUUGUUGUUAUUUUUUAAGAUUUUAGUGUUAAUUCAAUUCAAGGAUGGCUUUAGUCCACUCUGAACAAAAGGUCGAACGGGCUGCUCCCCUUUAUACAAGGAUUUUAGGCUGCAAAGUAGGGGUUUAAAUUGUGUACUUUUUUGACAUAACAUAAUCGAUGCAGCAAUUUGUUCUAAUUUACAGUAGCCAGAACUGUUGUUAUAAUUAAGGAGAACUACCGAGUAAUUGCCAUCACUCUCAUCACCAGUUGUAUUUUGAAGAUUCGAUUUCCUGGGUUUUUGGACAAAAGAUAUCAUUACCAAAGAUAGACUAAAGUCCCCCCAAGAGAAGCAUGAGCAUUGGCAUAGGACAAAGUAUUUCCAGCUUCAGUAUGAUCCCCAUAUAUGAAUUACGUUCUUCAGAGUUGAUAAGAAGUCAUCUAUGCCUGCGGCAAUUAAAUGCCAGCUAGUGAUCAAUUCAUUGACUGAACAAUUCAAGUCGGAAAAGCUUCGCAUGAAAAUGGAAGGCUAAUGUCAGCUAGUGAUCAAAAUCGGAGCUAUGUGAUCCUUAAACUGAAGAGCUGAAGAGUUCCUGAUUUGCUUGGAACCCAUAUAAUAUCUAGCUUCAUUGAACAUUAAACUUGUGGGGAAAAUUACCUUAUUAAUCCUAAACCUUUUGUAGAAAUGCGAAUUCAUUCCUAAUUUUUUUUUUUUUUGAAUUUUGCAAAUUUAGUCCCUAUGCAAAAUUCCAAUGUAGUCAUUCUGGACAAUUUUUGUUGGAAAUCGCUAGAGACGGCGAUGACUAGAUUAUUACGUUAGUGAUUUUUAGCAAAAAUUAGCCGGAAAGACAGAGUAUUUUUUGCAAAGGUUAAAUUGGCAAAAUUGAAAAGUUUUAGACGGAAUUGACAUUUGUGUAACAGAUUUAGGAUUAAUUGGACUAUUUCCCCGAAACUUGUGUUAUUGCAUUGACAAAACAUUUGGCCAACAAGUUUCAUCCGAAGCCGUUUCGACCCCUCUUAUUAUUAUUUGUUCAUUUUAAAGUACAGUCAACUUGGAACAACGGUCAAGAGAAAACGCCGAUUUUAUUGGCUUCUCAUCCAAAAAAACAGUUUUUAAAAGCCAACAUUUGACUCACGAUGAAGCUUCUAUUGCAUAAUCUAGACUGACUUGUCAAAUUGCAAUGACAUCCUAAUCUCUUGGCAUUCUGGAAAUGCAUAUGAACUGGCAUAGGCAUCAUCGGCUUCCGAUAUAAAGCUAAUUUUGUACGAUAACAAGACAUCUGAAGCUAUCUCUAAGAGGAUUUAUGGCCUCACACCUUUGGCAAAGUGUAUCGGUUUGCAAAAAUCUCGCCUUCCUAUUAGAUCUGCAGGCGAAACCGAAAGGCGAAGAAUCGGGAGCCCCUUAACAUCCUGAAGUAAGCAACAACCAAACACAGUAGGCUCCUAUGACAAUGUUGCUUAAGAUGUGUCGCUAUUCUUCCUUGGUCUUGGUCUUCCUUCUUCAGGCACAUCAUAGCACUGCGGUUUAUAACAUUACUGCAGCCGAACCACUCUUUCAUAACCAAACUCUUGUCUCCUCUGGUCAAACCUUUGAGCUCGGUUUCUUCACCCCCAACAGAUCAGCUAAUCAAUAUGUGGGCAUAUGGUACCAGAAUGUGACUCCUUCCAAGAUCAUCUGGGUCGCCAAUAGAUAUACACUUGCUUGCAUAUUUAGAUCAUUCAGCAAAAUUAACAAUAGGCAGGGAUGGGAAUUUGAAGCUUGGUGGACGAGCAAUAGAAGGUAGUUUGGUCCACCAAUGUUUCUGUUCAGUCAAACUAUACUACAACAAUGCUUUCAGAUGUAGGAAACUUCGUUCUACAAGACAGGAAUUCCAUUGAAAUAUGGGCAAGCUUUGAUGAUCCAACUGAUACUUGAUAAAGCUAGUACUAACACCUAGAUGGGGUGAAUAGGUAUUUGAAAGAAAUCUUAACAAAUAAAAUAAAUUGCUCACAAAGUCUAGAUGAAAAUCAGAAUCACGAGAUUCCAAACUUCUAUGAUGUUCAGAAGGUGUGCAAUAGACUUUAAAUGAAUGAGAUAAAAAGAGAAAUGUACACACAAAUUUUAUAGUGAUUCAGCUUAAAUCAAGCCUACGUCCACUCUCCCACGCUGACAGCCUACUCGCUAGAUUCUACUAUAUGAUCAAUCAAGAAGUUACAACUUGGUGAGCAAAUAGUCAAUGAUAGAAAUUUUCUAACUCAGAGAUUUUUUUUUUUUUUUCUCUCUAGAUCACACUUUUUAAAGCUCAUAGAUGAAAACUAAUAAAAUGAGAGUAGCCUUAGACUUUGGAAUCUCAAAUUCACAUUCCCACACCGAAUAAACUCCUUUAAAUACUCAUUCACCCCAUACUAGCCUCUAGUAAUCUUUGGAGAAACUUUUUUCUAAUCAAGCUGUUGGACAUAAUCAAUUAAAGGAAUCUUGUGGCUGUUGAAGUUAGGAAUAUAAUUUCACUUGAUUUUGUUCACCCAUAUAAUCAUAAUCUUGGUUUCCAUAAAUAGAUACUUCCCAAGAAGAAAGUUGUCUUCAAGAUUGAUUUCAUCAAUUUGUGAUUGAUUUUAUCAACGAAUUUAUAUAAGGUAAGUGAAAUCCUUCGCUAGAAAGCUAGACAACGUAGAAUAAUUUCCUAAUAAGUUCAUUAUGGAUCUGUGUCGCAAAAUUGAUAAGUUUGAAUUUGUACUCUUCCUCAUUCUGGACACGAUCUCGUUCUGGACUUUGUUAGAAUGGGAAGAGUUUCUGAGAAUGAAUAGACUUUGCUAGAGGCAAGGCCUGAUUAGGUGCUGGCAAACCCUAGUGAGGGAUCCCCUCACCCAAGUCAUGGUAACCUUGUUGGGUGUCACCUUUGCUUAGGCAACACUCAGUGAGGGCUAGCCUUGCCAGAUCUAACAAAAGGAGCCCUCGCCUGAUCGAGCGUCGCCUUUGGUGAGUGACAGUAACCCUCACCCAAGUGAGGCCAACUCACCCGGCUAUGGCCAGUGGCCGAUCACCGACAAAAGGAAGAAGAAAAGAAGAAAAAAAAUUAUUAAAAAUUAUUCAUGUCAAUAACAUCUAGUUAAAAUUAGUCACUUGAUCGAGCGUCGCCUUUGGUGAGUGACAGUAACCCUCACCCAAGUGAGGCCAACUCACCUAGUAAUGGUCAGUGGCUGAUCACUGACAAAAGGAAGAAAAAAAAUUAUUGAAAAUUAUUAAUGUCAAUAAUAUCCGAUUAAAAUUAGUUAAAUUGACAAUAAAUCAAAAAAUUUAUAACUAAAUUAACACGAUUGAAAGAUUUAAAACUAAAUUGGCACAAAUGUAAUAAGUUUAUGAUUUUUCUGACACUUUUCCCUUGAUUUUUUUGUAUCAUUACUAAACUCUUACCAAAUCACAAUUUUUUUUGGGGUGUAGUUAAUUUACAAUGUAAAGAUUUUUAUAAAAUGGUUUUUCAAACUUUCCUGUAUUUAGUUUGUUGAGAGUACGGUAAAAAGAAACGCUUUCAUGUUUUUGGAUUGCCAAAAAAACUCUCUAUUGGUAUUCACUCCUCUUUGUUUAUUUACCAUGGUAUCACUAUUCGAUUUCUUUUUGGGAAUGGAGAACCAUUCUCAUGUGAAGUUUAUGAGAAUUGAAAGAUUAAGUUUGUAAAUUAUUACAUUUAUCUUUUUUGGCAUCUUUUUUAGGUUGCCUUGUUUCAAUAAAAAAAAGUAAUAUUAAUAACUGUCGCGGCCAAUUUUUCGGGUUCACCACCUAAAACUAGGUUAAUGGACUAUUGAGCUUUUUAAACUUAACUCGGGCUCUCCUAAGCCCAUACCAAUUCGCGACUUAGGUUUGAAUUUUUAACAUGCAAGAGGUUAUUCUCUAGGAGUCGCCACUAAUCGGUUUAGGAUAAGUCGAUUAGACACCUAAGUAAAAUAAAUAGAGAUUUAUUUUACUCAUACGAACCAAAGACUGAGGGUACAAUGACUUGAUUACACUAGAUUUCUCUAAUGCCCUUUCGGUACCAUUUCUUUUUAAUUUUUCAAAAUGUUUUUGCAAGCAGCUGAUUUAUUUUAACCUAAAUUACUAUCAUGCAAAUAUGGUGACCACACGGGUGCUCAUCCAUUAUUAAAACAUUCAAAUGAAUUGCAUCACACAAGGCAAGCAAUCAUUUUUUUUUUUUGAGUUUUCUUAAAAAUUAGAAUUCUUUUAUGAAAAUGCAUUUUAAAACCAAAUGACUUUAUCUUAUUAAUAUGCAAAUUUUAAUUAAAUGGGCCUGUUAUGCAAACUAAUUAUUAUGCACCUCAUGACCUAACUUCACUAAUUAACAAGUUAUGAUUAAAUAAUCCUAUUAUGCAAACUAGUUAACAUGCACCUAGUAUUUUUGCAUUUUUUUAUUAUUGAAAUUCAGAAUUCAUGAAAACCUUAAUUAAUCUAUCUAAAAAUGAUAAUUUUCUAAUUUAUUCUAGGGAUUAGUUUGACUUAAACCCUAUCCUAUCUUAGAAAGCUAUUUUUUUUUUUUGGGAAAAUGAGAUAAUUAGAAUAUGCGAACAUUAUCUAAAACCCUAAAAAAUAUUUAGGUUCAACCCUAACUUAUUCCUAAAAAUGCAAUCUUAAAAAUGCAAUCCUAAGAAAAUCCUAAUGCUUGAUUUACUAAACUUAUAUACUCAUGCAGAAUUUUGAUUUUUUUUUAUCUUAUGAUUUUUUAGUUUUUUUUAAGAGAUAAGUAAUUAUUAAAUCUAAACUAUCAACAAAAUCAAGCAAGAAAUGAUUAAAAUAAUCGAAAAAAUAACAUGUUGUCUCACAGGUCAAAUUAACAGUUAUUCUAACCCUAAUUAUCAUAGCAAAGAGAUCAAAAUAAUUACAAAUCUAAUCCGAAGUCUUACGGACCAAAUUAAAUAAUUAUUGUGAUUUAAUAAUUAAAAUCUCACUAAAAAGCCCAACAAUUAAAAUAAUUAAAAAAAAAUGAUCCAAUGUCUCUUUGAUCAAAUUAAUAAUUAUAAUAAUUCCAGACAAAAUCCCAGCGGAUAAUGCAUACUAAAUUCACAAAUAUUAACAUCAAAUAUUACAACUUAAAUAGAUAAAGUAAAAUGAGAUAAAAUAGAACAAAAUAAAUAAAAGAAAAAGCUAAACCACCUAAAGAAAGAGGGGCUUGCUGCAGAUGGGCGCCGGACGGACGGUGGUCGGCGUCGGGUACUGCAGGUCAGCGACGGCAAGGUGGCGCGGGAGGUGCAGGAACGGGCGUCGGGUCGAGCAGCGAGAGGGCUCGCGGGCGUUGCGGGUCGCAGGCUGCUGCACAGCGAUGCUCGCGGGUGCUGGUGCGUGGAGCAGGGGCGGAUGUCGAGGCAGAGAUCGGCGGAGGGCGAUUUGCAGAGGUGGGUUGCGUACGGACCGGGACCUGCUGUCUUCGGAGGGCCGCGACGUCGAGCACGGCGAGAACAGGGAGAUCGGCGAGCAGCAGGGGCUGGCUAGUUGCAGAGGCGCAGCGGCACCAGGCUCUGAGCGGAUGCGUAGGCGGAGGCCGAGGCGUCACGAGCCGUGGACGGCUCGAUCAGUGCGGGUUGCAGGCGAGGCACUACAGAGCUCAGGGCAACGACGUCAGCCGUCGCGGCUGGCUUCGGGGCGGCAAGCGGCGCGGUGGACUUCGGCUAUGGAGAUGCCGUGGUGGAGGCGCAAGCAGGGACCGACGGUGGGCGCAGCGGGCUACUGGUUGGCGCUUGGGUCGUCGUGAGUCGGUGCGGACGGUCUCCAGUGGCAACGGGUCACCGGAAUCGUGGAUCGGCGCGGCACGAACGGGAGAGCUCGGGCGGACACCGGUAGGGCUUCGAGCGAGGCGGUCGCGGCUAGCCUCGGCUUCCAAGCGGCGUCGGCGUGGCGAGACAGCGGCGUCCGGCGGGCAGGAGACGGAGCACGGGCAGACGGCGGCAAGUCAGCGGAGAAGAAGAACAUUAUUCGUCUUCCUCUUUUUUAAUUUUUCUUUUUUCCUCCUGUCUCUCUCUCUCUCACCUGUCUCUCUCACGUCACUUUCCCUCUGUUUUCUUCACUUUUCUGCAUAAGCUUUUUGCUUUUUUCUGAAUUUUUUUUCUCCCCAGAAGCUCCUCCCGGUCCUCGUACUCGGUUGCUUUUAUAGGGGUAGGAGAUAAGCUUUCGAUUUCCCCUUCAAAUCUACAUCCGCGAUACAUUUUCACCAACCGAUCACUAUUGAUAAAAAUUUAAGAUUACGAUAAAUAUUUUCUCAAAAUUCAAAUCUCGCAAAGAUAAAUUGCAAUAUCGCAAUAUUUUUUCACAAAAUUCAUCCCAUACUGAUAAAAAUUCAAGAUUAAGAUGAGAUUUUUUUAAAUCCAAAUCUUUCAAAGCCAAAUCGCAAUAUUGUUUUACCCAUCUGCCAUAUCUAAAAAAGAUUCAUAUCUCGGAAAAAUUUUAAAAUAUUAUAUUCCCAUGAGAUAAUUUUUUAAUUAUUAAAAAACGCGGGCUUGGGCCAACCUGCUCGCUUCGUGGGCCUGAUCCAUCUAAUUCGAACUCAUCCGCCACCGGUCCCAAAAUAUGCAAAUAACAAAAUAAAUGCAAUCUAAAUCUAUAUGAUAUGCAAUUAAUAAAAUUAACCCCUAAUUUCCUAUGCAAUAAAUAACUAAACGGAUAGCCAAAAUUUAGGUGUCAACAAUAACUAAAAUUUUAGUAACAUCAUCUUAGUAUCUUAUAUUAAGAACAAAAUAUAAUUAUCAUAAAAAUGAUAAUUGUCUAAAAUAAGAUCUAACCACUGAAACCCGAUUCAAGCGAGAGUUUCUCUAGUCGGUGUCGUGGUCCAGUCAAUGCCCCUUUGUCAAGAAGGCUGUUUCUAUGGUCACUCAAUAGUACACAUCAACUGUCUUGAGAACACAGUGUCAAGAAGAAACGCACCCUAAUAUAUUAGCUAGUGGACAUAGAUUUAUGUUCAUCAGCUAAUGUAUAAGUAGGUCUACUCAUGUAUCGAGUCAACUAUGAGAGUAGCAAUGCACUAGGUGAAGGCUUAGGUAGGAAGCAGAGGGUGCAAAGGGCUUUGCAGGGUAAGCCUUGAGCGAUUUUUCGAUGAGCCCAAAUAGAUCGAUGAUAUAGCUAGGUAUAAGCACCUAAAGGGGGGGUGAAUAGGUGUAAAAAUAAUUUCUCGAGAUAUGAAAGCAAUACUAGGCAAACAAUAGAAAGAAAGCUCUAAUUUAGUUAACAAAACGAACUAUGAACAAACUAAAACAGAGAGUAGGGAAGAGAAAAUUGAACACAAGAUUUAUAGUGGUUCGGCUUAUUCCAAGCCUAUGUCCACUCUUCUGCACUGAUAGCCCACUGGCUGGAUUUCACUAUGAACAAAAGAGAUGUUACAGCACUGUUUUCCCUUGAUUCCACAGUGUAGAUAUUUUACCACACUUUCUCAAGGUAUCUCAAAAUAUAGACUCUCUUUUGCGUACAAUAUUUCGCUCAGAAAAUGAAUUAACUAAGAAUCAAAGAGCUUCAGACUUUGGAAUUCUUCUAUCGUGCACUUCCUCGAACAACUGGAACGUCUUCCUUUUAUACUCCUUUGUGCCAUCAUACCCGUUGGUACUUACCAAAGAAAUUCUUCAAAUCCUCCCGUUGGACGGAAUCAAUUAUGAAGAUUAUUCGAGCUAUUAAAGGAACAUGUCGAUAGCCCAUCAAUCCUGCUUGCCCAUACAAUCAGGAUUUUGGUUUCCAUAAGUAGAACCUUCUAAGAAUACUUCGCCAAUAAUCGGAUCUUUAAUUAUUCUUGAUUUGAAUAAAGGAAUCCGUUAUGUCAUAUCCAGCCAAGAGAUAUUCUCUAGUCGAUAAGGCCAAAUCCUUAAUGAAAUAGUUCUGGAUAGCCUUUCUUCAACAGAUUAGAAUCUGUCAAUGAGAAUAGAUUUUGAGUCUUGAAUCUGAUAGUACGGAGAUCUUUAGAUUUUAAUAAUAGAGUCUGCAAAACUUCAGACUAGACUGAUAGAAUCGUUUUGUCAACUUCAAAAUAUUCCAGAAGGAUUUCUCCAACAAUCGAGACUAAAUUUUAUAGGCUCAAUUAGUGGCCUAAAUCACAAAUUUGGCUGAAUUAGUUCAGUUCGGUGGGGCUAUUUCAGGUCAAAGCCCGACUUUUCCAAGAAUGAAGUUUGUUAAUUUAUUGUCAAAUUUGAAAACUUCGACAGGCACAAUCGAAAUAAGCCUUUAAGGUACUAUGAGAACUUGUUUAAGGUUCAAUAAUCAAAUCUAACUCAUCUACUGAAAUUGCUUAGUGAACUCAUCUCAAAGUUUGGUUUGAUCUAAAUUCAAAGUAAUUAAAAGUAUAAGGGCACUAUUGCACAUUGAACGUACAAUUAAUAAUGAUAGAAUACUAAAAGGCCGUUGAUUUUGAUUAGAAGAAGUAUUAAGCGUUCACGUACAAUCAUUUGAAGGUAGUGCUUAGACCUCUCCUCAGCACUACUGUGUUCACGUAUGGAACCUUCACCCGUGUUCUCUCGCCAACCCAAAUCGCAUGGCCUUUGAUUGCACCACAGUUGGACUUCGUUCGAUGUCUUGGUUAACGCGUAAGCAAUCCGAAUUUGCGAACUGAAAUGUGAACUGUGACGCUGAGUCAAAUUUGAACAACGGCGAGGAAAAACCCCCACGUUGAACAGUCAAUGAAGAUGUGGUCUUCGGAAAACCCUCGUGUUUCAGCCCCCUUUGAGGACCAAGGCCUCUUGGCUCAUCGGAAAUCUAGUUCAUCUAUCCUUAAAUCUGCAGAAAGUGCAGAAUCAACCGACCCACCGAACUCACUAGGUUCAUUCAGUUAUUCUUAUCAUGCGGCUCAUGAUUUAUUGGUGCUCUUGCUUGGUCAUCUUCUGCCUACUUCAGGCAAGUCAUAGGGCCAGCGGUGUAGCUUACAAUAUUACUCCAUUGGAGCCGCUCUUUCUGAACCAAACUCUCGCCUCCUCUGGCAAUAUGUUCGAGCUUGGGUUCUUCAGGCCGAGCGGGUCAGAAAAUCGGUAUGUUGGCAUAUGGUACAAGAACUUGACGCCUUCUAAGAUCUUGUGGGUCGCCAAUAGGGAACGGCCGCUUGUGUACACAGAUCAGUCUGCAAAAUUAACGAUAGGCAGUGAUGGGAAUUUGAAGCUCAUGGAUGGACAAGAAAAUAUAGUUUGGUCUACUAAUGUCUCUAGUCGGUCCAAUUAUACGUUGGCAGCGCUAUUAGAUAGUGGGAAUUUUGUUCUGCAAGAUGGAAAUUAUAGCGAAAUAUGGGGAAGCUUCGAGAUCCGACAGACACUCUUCUUCCAACAAUGAAGAUAGGAGUAAAUGUCAGGACUGGAGUGAAAGGGGACUAUAUAUCAGACAUUGGAGAUGAAGAAGGAUGUGAAAGCUGGUGCCGGAGCAGUUGUUCUUGCUUGGCUUAUUCUUACGUCAGCACCAUUGGGUGUAUGCUUUGGAGUAAAGACCUCAAUGAUAUUGAGGAGUUUCCCACAGCUGGGGAAGAUCUAUUUGUUCGAGUUGCAAGUGUAAAAGCAGGUUAGAAAUUGUUUCACUAAGAUGAGUUUGAGUCGACACCAAUCAUCUUUUAUAUAACUCUCUUUCCCAUUUCAGGAGGAUCGCGACACAGAGCAGUUAUCAUCAGCCUAAGUACUAUUGCAGGGAUUAUGUUCUUUGCUGUAUUUGUUUUUGUUCUUUGCAAACGGAGAGCUAACAAAAGAGGUACUAUUGAAAAGCUAUAUCAGUGUUAUCAGAGGAUUGUGCACGCUAUGAAAAAAGUAAGCUAAUUCUCCAUCAAUGAUAAACACAGGAAACUUGAACAAAAUUGGAGGGCUCCUUGACUCAGUAAAAACACCUGAGAAAUCGACCGAGCUGACACAGCGAAAUGAAUGGCAAGAGCAGUUGAAGCAAGAAGAUUAACUGGAAUUGACCCUUUAUAGUUUUGAUAGCAUACUACUUGCUACGAACAAGUUCAGCACAACAAGUAAACUUGGGCAAGGAGGGUUUGGCUCUGUUUAUAAGGUAAGACCAUUCUGCAGGACAUUGUUAAUAAAAAUAUUUUAAGGUCUAAAAGCUAUGUUAAUUGCAAAACAGGGGAAGCUGAAAGAUGGGAAAGAUAGCUGUGAAAAGACUUUCCAGUACCUCAGCCAAAGGCGUUGAAGAGUUCAAGAAUGAGAUUAUCCUUAUAUCGAAACUCCAACAUUGAAAUCUCGUUAAACUCAUGGGUUACUGCAUUGAAGGAGAAGAAAAGAUUUUGGUAUACGAUUACUUGUCGAAUAAAAGCUUGGACACCUUUCUUUUUGGUUGGUUGUUUUUAUCUCGGAAUAACUAUUUUUGUAUAAUGUAUUUUCUGCAAUAGCAUUCAAACUUGAAAACUUUGUCUGUCAUGUUUGCUAGAUUCAAGAAAGAAGGCAGAACUUGACUGGGGCAAACGAUUUCAAAUAAUUCAGGGGAUUGCAAGGGGGCUGCUCUACCUUCAUCGAGAUUCUUGCCGUAGGGUCAUACAUCGAGACUUGAAAGUAAGCACAUUAUCUUGGAUGAAAAGAUGAACCCGAAAAUUUCAGAUUUUGGGCUAGCACGAAUGUUUGAGGGCACUUAAGUUUUGGUGAACACACAAAAAAUUGUUGGAACAUUGUAAGCUCUCUAGGCCUAUUUGAAUUAUCAAUUCAUUGAGUCAAUCUCUUCAAGCAGACAGAAAUAUUUACCACAACGAACAUCUCUGUUCAUGCAUUUUUAUCGCCAUUGUCUAUCAAUACAAUCAAAGAGUACAUAACAUGUUUAACUUAACUGCAGUGGCUAUAUGUCUCCUAAGUACGCCAUGGGUGGAAUAUUUUCCGAGAGGUCCAAUGUCUAUAGCUUCGGAGUGUUGCUACUGGAGAUAGUAAGCGGCAAAAAGAACACGUCCCUGUAUGACUAGGGAUAUCUGAAUCUCCUUUUUCCUAUGUAAGUCCCAAAUUGCAAACUUAAAUCAAUAUUGUAAGUUUGCUGCAAUAUUCUGACAGUGUUCUCACUUACAGGCAUGGCAAUUGUGGAGUGAUGGCAAAGCAUUGGACCUAACGGAUGUAGCAAUGGCUGUUACCUCUCCUUUGGAGAUAACAAGAUGCAUCCAUGUUGGGCUUCUUUGUGUUCAGGACCAUGCCACGGAUAGACCAAACAUGUUGAAUGUGGUUCUGAUGUUAAGUGGCGAGUCAGAUCUUCCUCAGCCGAGGCAGCCUAUAUUCACUUUUCAAGCUGAAAGGCCAAAUCAUUCUAUUCCAUCACAACAAGAAAGCAUCCGGUUUGUUAACACUAUCACCAAUACAAUGGUCGAAGGAAGAUGACGACUAUUUAUUUUCAUUUUUAUUUUCUAUUUUUUUAGAUGACUUUGUUGUUAUUUUUUAAGAUUUUAGUGUCAAUUCCAUCCAAGGAUGGCUUAAAGUCCACUCUGAACAGAAGGGUCGAAUGGGCUGCUCCACUUUAUACAUGGAUUUUAGGCUGCAAACUAAAGGUUUAAAAUGUAUACUUUUUUGACAAAACAUAAUCGACGCAGCAAUUUGUUCUAAUUUAUAGUAGCCAAAACUGUUGUUAUAAUUAAGGAGAACUACCAAGUAAUUGCAUCACUCUCACCACCAGUUGCAUUUUGAAGAUUCGAUUUCCUGGGUUUUUGGACGAAAGAUAUCAUUACCAAAGAUAGACUAAAGUCCCGCCAAGAGAAGCAUGAACAUUGGCACGGGACAAAGUAUUUCCAGCUUCAAUAUGAUUCCCACAUAUGAUUUACCUUCUUCAGAUUUGAUAAGAAGUCGUCUAUGCCAGCGGCAAUUAAAUGUCAGUUAGUGAUCAAUUCAAUGACUGAACAAUUCAAUUCGGAUAAGCUUCGCAUUUAAAUGGAAGGCUAAUGUCAGCUAGUGAUCAAAAUCGGAGCCAUGUGAUCCUUAAACGGAAGAGCUAAAGAGUUCCUGGUUUGCUUGAAAACCCAUAUAAUGUCUAGCUUCAUUGAACAUUAAUUUCUAAAAGAGAAAUAACGAUUUGAUAAUGAUAUAAAAUUUCUACCCUAAAAAUAGAAAUUUGUUUGAUAUUAACACAAAAUUUCUUUUUUCGAAUAGAGGCAGACUGGCGAACGGCGGCGGACAAGCGAUCGGCAGUGUUUGACGACAGCGGGCGGCAGGUGGCAUUGGGCGAUCGGUGGCAACCAGCGACUAGCGGCGGUCAAUGGCGAUCGGCGGUUGGCAACCAGUGAUCGACGGUCGAUGGUUGGCGACGACGAAUGAAGUACCGAUUGAUGAACGAUGAAAAUAAUUUUUAUUUUUCAUUUCUAUUCUAGAAAUAGAGAAGUAUAAAAUUUUUACUACUGAUUUCUAUUCAAAACCAAUUUCUUGAACAAAAAUUUAUUUCAAAAAUAGAAAAGUGGAAUAAUUCUAUCAAACGAAUUUCUAUUUUAGAAACAAUUUUAGAAUAGAAAAAUUGUUUUUGGAACAAAAACAUGUGAUUGUCAUGCACCCCCUAAACCUGUGGGGAAAAUUACAUUAUUAAUCCUAAACCUACUGUGGAAAUGUAAAUUCAUCCCUAUAAUUUUUUAAUUUUGCAAAGUUAGUCCCUACGCAAUAUUCCAAUGUAGUCAUUAUGAACAAUUUUUUUUGGAAAUUGCCGGCAACGACAAUGACUAGAUUAUUACAUUAGUGAUUUUUAGUAAAAAUUAGCCGGAAAGACAACCUAUUUUUUGUAAAUGUUAAAUUGGCAAAAUUGAAAAGUUUUAGAUGGAAUUGACAUUUGUGUAAACAGAUUUAGAAUUAAUUGGACUAUUUCCGCGAAACUUGUGUUAUUGUGUUGACAAAACAUUUGGCCAACAAGUUUCAUCCGAAGUCGCUUUGACCCCUUCCGGGCAUGCUUUGUGAGCAAAUCGCACAACUCGAGCCACAACCUAUGCUUGGUCUUACCCUUAAUCGAGAAAAACUGAUCGUCGUUCAGCACUGACGCCAGCCUCUCCGCCGCCUCUUGCCACAGCUUCGAAUUAACCAAGAACUCGACGAAAUCCUCAAUGUGGGUGGGGUCAGACGUCAAGUAGCUCCUGUAAACUCUGAGCGGAGUCUCGAUGGGCAUGCCCCUCUGGCUGACGAACACCAGGUAGGGCUCCCAGAUACGGUCGUGCUGCGUGACGGGGAGCGCGCAGAGCGCCCGGUCGAAGGUCCGCCGGGUGCGGGUGACCAGCUUCUGCACCGUGAGGGUCUGGAGGUACAUGAUCCAAAUCCGGGGCAUCUUGUGCAUCGUCACCAGGGCACGCUCGAACGUGUUGUCCAGGGUCUCGUACUGGGAGUGGGUGAUGGGGAGGCUCCGGACGAUCUCGAGGCGCUCCCGGAGGUAGGCGUGCCAGAGCUUUUAGCUGCCGGGGAGGGCCUUGAGGGCGCGCUCGUAGAUGACGAAGCGCUUCUUGAAAGGGGAAUCGGCCCGGGCGAUGAGGUAGCGCCACCACAGCUUGAGGCUGAAGGGGUUGCGCAGGAGUUCCUCCUCGUAGAGCAGGUCGUCCUGCGACGGGUAGAGCUCCUUGGGUAUCGACAUCGCCGGAACCCGGAAAGACCCAGAAAAACCCUCGAGCGCCCGGAGAGGGAGGAGGCGGAAAGCGACAAUCUUGCGCGCGGCGGCGGUGCCGGGAGAGAGAAUUCGAUCGGAACUUCCGGAGUCCGGCGAGAGGGGUAGCGAGGGAGGUCGGUCGUCGCUCUUUCUCUCGCCGGGAAAUCAACGGCGGCGGCGCGCCAUGAGCGGGAGGAGGCUGCGGCGGGGGAAAAGCCCUAGUCUUUCCGGCAAGGAGGAUGGUGAAUUUGGGGAUCUUCGCAGCAAUGGCGUCUCUCUCUCUCUAUCUCUCUAUCUCUGUGAUCUCGCAGAGGUCGAAUUGCGGGAGGAAGAAGAGGGAUUUGGUGUUUUGCUCUCAGUAUUCUUCAGCACAAUUACUUCUGAGUUCAUUAUCUUCUUAUAAAUCCGUGAACAUGGCCCUAAUGGGCGAGAAUUACCCAUUAAAAGACCGAUUGCAAAAAAUUGAAACUAACACCUUCUUAUUUGUUGGACCACCAGUUUAGCCCCGUUUUCGAGUAAGUCCAUAAACCAGUCCUAUUCCUUACAAAGCUUAUUGUGGCCUUAUAAUCGGGUUAAAUUGCAAGCCAUUAAAUUUGAUUCAUAAUUAAAAACUAUAAGGCAAAAUGAACAAAUACUACUCGCUAACUAAAAACUUAAUCUCUUCGAAAGUCAUGGUAUGUUCCUCUGAAGGUUUCCCGAUACUAGAUAUAUGCGAAGAACAUUGAUCGCUUGAUUCAUUUUUUUUAACAUCAAUCUAAUUUAUUUAAUUAUACUCUUAAAACAAGCUAUUGGCUUUUAUGGACACGUUCUCUCCUUCCUCUCCCUUUGUUCAUUUUAUUUUGAUUGAGAAAGCAAAUAAAUGGAUUAUUAGAAUGAAAAGAAGAAGAAGAAGAAGAAGUAGGGGGUUAAUUCUAUUACAUACCCAAAAGAUAAAAUUAGUCAAUAAUUUUUUAUAAUUACAAAUGUAUAUGUACAUAUAUAUUUGGUUGAAAAAUUAAAAAAUAAUGAAGUGAUUGAGAUGAAUUUCUUUUUUAAACAUAUAUAUAUAUAUACACUACUAUGGUCUGGUUGGGUAAGUGGGCAAUUUCACGCCAAGAACCGGAUCGACUCCCAUGGGAAUUGUUGGUUUUGGUCCUAUCCAAACUAGUUCCGACUAGUUCAAGUAGUUCUCAAUUCUUUUACACACUCUUAGCUUUUAAAGACGUGUUUGAUAACCGGUCAAUUUUUAACUAUUUCUGAAAAAAAAAAAAGAAUAUAAAUCAAUUUGGUAAAGUAAACUAAUUUUUCUAUUCCCAGGAAUAGAUCAGUGGUAAAGGAAUAAAUUUGAAACAUGAUUCAAAACUAGAAAAAUGUUUUUUUUUUAUUCUCAAGAACGAUUUUACAAUAAAUUCAUUUUCUUUUUUAUUCUUUUCUUCUUCCUCCUCCUUUAAUUGGUUGCUGGUCUCAGCAAUGGUUUGGUGACCUCAUUGAAGCCUCAUUGACCCUGGGCACCAGCCAUUGCCGAGGGGCAACCAACUAUAGGAAGAAGAAGAAAAAUAGGAAAAAAGAUAAGCAAAAAGAAAAAUCUCAACAAAAAAAAAUUAAAAGAUAUUUUACUUCAUACAAAAAAUUGAGGGUAAGACUAAAUGCAUUUAUAUAAUUUUUUUCUAUUUCAGGAAUAAAAAUUUUGUGCAUUUAUCAAACACGUUUAAAUUCUCAAAAAUUUGUUCAAUAAUAGCAUCCGAAAAAACUAUUUGUGACCAGAAAUCGUUUUCAAAAAUAGCAUGGUUAUCAGACGUAUCAUAAGACCCGUUUGGUCAAAGAAAAACUACUUUCUGAAAAUUAUAUUUCAACUUUUCAGUAUUUGGGUGAUCGAAAAUAAAUAAAAGCGUUUUCCAUUAAUUAAAAACAACAACCUUAGAUUGGGAGAAAUUGAAGGAAAAUCACUUUUCCAAGGCUCCUUGCGUCAUGACUCGAACUCUGGGCACAUGCACAUCCCUCAAUGGUCGAUGAAAAUUUGCAACAUCCUAGGAAUUGUUGUUGAUUCAUUCAUUAUUUUGCGCAUGCAGAAACAUAAAACAAUCUCCAUACAACAUAACGGUAGGAUAGAAACGUAGGAUAAUAUUUUCACAAACCACAUCUAUAAUACAGUAGUACUUAUAUACAAAGUGAAGCUAUUCGGCUACCUACGCGCUAAGCUUCCAUUUACAAGUUUGCUAUUACACUAUCAUACUUCUCGACCUCUGUAGGGUGAACUGUCACCCAUCAUCCAGCCUUGACGGAAGACCCGUCACCACAUGAGAGAAGAUAGCGAGAAACCUACACUUCCCUUCUUGUAGACCCUUGUACACAACCUGGAAUUCCUCCAUCUAGGGGCCUGAAAAUUUUAACCCACUAAGGGGUGAGAUAACAUCUUAGAGAGUUAAUCCCCUAAAUCCAAAGUAGGAGAAUGGUACACUCUACAUGCAAUCUAAUCACGUUUCUCAUAACUCUUUUCAUACCAGUCUUUCCUUGCAUGUUAGUGCCGAUCAAAUCAUACAUACAGUAUCGAGUUUUCACAUCAUAUGAAUACCGUAACACGAGUAUGUGUAAAGACAUAAAUAUCAACAUAAGUAUACGGGCCCCCAAUUACCAGACUAAACCGUUAUGGCACGUCCCAUACUGCACCACACAGUUCCGUCUUUUAAUUAGGUCCCUCCCUUUCACUUAUUCAUGUGUCAAAAUUGAUUUCAAUACACAAAUAACAGUCUUCCGGCAUAAUCGAGUAUCGUCUCGCACUAUCGAGCACUGCAACUUCUACAUUUAGAUGGCAUUCCAUAUAGGAGCAUCAGCUCAGCCUCCACUGCGACCAGCAUCCGUUGACGUGGGGCAUUCUCGAAAGAGCAUCAUCUGGCCCCAAAGGCUCGUGACGAAGUCUCAUGUCAUGUAUGCAUUAACUCAAUAUCACAAUUCUAAAAUCAAUUGCACAUUUAAUUCAUAACAUCAUUUGAGCAAUUUUCCAGCAAGAAACACUUAGAGAACAAUUACAAUCGGAAUUAGCAGAAACUGUCCACUUGUGCCCUUUCAAGUUUAACACCAGAAACCAUCUCAAAUGAGUUCAAAAAAUUCUCAAACUUGAACAUGUGAUAAAGAAUAUGUAAAAAAAACAUUUUUUAUGAAGGCACCGAGACUCAGAUCCUUAUGGAUUUGGCCAAGUAAUUCACUCAAUCCAGCACUAAAAUCGGGUCCGUUUCCAGCGGUUCUGGUUUUCGAAAUUAGCUUGGUUCGGGGUUUGAAAUAGGCUUAUUUGGUCUGAAAUUCGAGUAUGUUCAACUAGAAGAUAUAACAAACAACUUUUCUGAAUAACUUAUUUUUAAAAAUCGAACCCGAAGGGUUAGUAACAACCCAUAGAAUCCUUACAGGUCGCAAAUUCCAGUGCAGUUUGAGUUUCUAUUUAAAGACAACGAAGCCAAAAUAAUUUUCCUUUAAAUCCUCAAAAAUCUUGAGAAAAAUAUAUGUUAUAAUUGAAGAUGUGAAAAACAUUUCUUCAGAAGGAAAUUUCUUCAAAAUCGCAACAUAUAUCAGUCUACAAAAAUAACAAAUUGCGCAUGUCCAGAAAACAGUUUCAAGAAACAGCCCCUAUCUUUGGCUGAAUCAUCCUAUACGGUUCUUAUUUUAUCCUUUAAACCACAACUAAGCCUUUCUAUGGCUAAUCUAACGUUUAUAACUAACACCCAACCAUAUGUAAUAUCAUCUACACCUUUCUUACUUGGAUGAAUCACUAAGGGGGUGAUUGGUUCAGCUUUCCCAAGGGGCUUUGAGCCCCCAAAGCCCCUUGGGAAAAAUUAAAGGGUGUUUGGUUCGGCUUUUGAAUGCUCUUUGGCAAAAUGUUUGCCUUUGGAAUGCUGAUGGGAGGAUUAAUGAAUUUUUGCUUAUUACCCAUUUUACCCUCAAAAUUUUAUUAAAAGUCCAAUUUUAUCUUAUACAAAACAAACCCUAACUUUUUUUAGGCUUUUCUCACGCUACGCUCUCUCACGCAACACUCUUCCUCAUCGCUCUCUCUCCCUGCAACUCGACGGCUCUCUCUCUCCUUGCAACUCGACGGCUUUCUUCUUCGUCGCUUCCCUCCCUGCAACUCGACGGCUUUCUUCUCCGUCUCUCUCUCUCCCUGCAACUCGUCGACAGCGGUCCUUCUCGGUUUUGGAUCCAUGUAAACUCUCGUUACCUCGACGGAGCUCUCUUCCUCUUCUUCAGCCUGCUUCAGUUUCUCUUCACUCCACUUCGCUCGCUGCUCCCUCCAGCCAGGUACUCUCCUGUCCUUCCACUUCCCUUUUGCAGGCACUUCGCUCUCUCUCUCUCUCUCUCUCUCUCUCUCUCUCUCUCUCUCUUAUGUUCUAUUGAGGGUAUUGCUUGAUUUCGUUGAUGCUAGAAUUCGUUCUCGAACGAGGCAAGAUUUGGGGUUCCAGGGCUCUGAUGAUGGGUUUUGAGUCCUGUGUUUGAUCGUGGUUUGAAUUUAUCUUCUUGGGUUCAAUCCUUUGCCCUCCUCUCCUUUUUUUUCCCCUUUUUGGGUCGUAAUCUUAUUGGGUUUUGGUUCGGCGUCCCUGUAAUUUGCAAGGUAUUCAAGAAAGACUGUAGAUGGUUGAGGUCGGUGUGAGAUGAGGGCACCUGUAAUCGCUAAGAAAAGAAAAUGGUCGCAGUUGUUCUAUGUUUUUUUUUUUUUUUUUUGCUUUCUUGUAUGAGGAUUUGAGACAAAGGGGAGUCUUGAAUAGGUCGAUUCAUGCCAAAUUACUGCAAAUAGUAGCUCUUCUGAGGAUCUUGUUAAUGGCGGAGUGUUUCUUGGAGAUGAUUGUUUCUUGAGGUAAGCUAGCUGAGCCUUUGUCAAUGUCAUUACAAGAGCCUGCUCCAAUGGUAAAGAUUCAUAAGUUCAGUUCUUAGAACAGUAGGCAAAAACAGUCACAGACUCGGAUUUGAUUUGAAGGUGGAGAAAGAAAAUCAUUGAAAAGUGAAGAACUAUGUUAGAGUGUAUGAUUAUUCUGAUGCAAGCUCUGUCUAUCCCCUGAUUAGUCGAAUCACGAAAUUCAAGAUGCGGCAUACAAGCAAAAUUAGUCUUUGAGAUAGCAAACAACAGGAGACAAAUUCGGUAAAAUCACCACUUACCUGCAAAGCUGCUUUUUGUGGAGGAGAUGACCUCAUAUAGGCUAUUACAAGCCUACACAUCAUCAUAUCUAGUGGUAUCUUGACAUCAUGGUGAGAAACCAGCCAAGGAAGACCUAAUGAACAUUAUGGGAAUUCGAAGAUCAAAUCAAUAUUAAUCUGCAACCCUUGCUAGGUUUUGAUUAAGGAUAAAACUUAGCAAACAACCACCGGCGGUGGUGGCGUAGGUGGUUGAGCAAGGGACUUCUCGCAAAAAGACCCGAGUUCGAUCCACGGCGUCGUCGAGUCUUAAGUGCAAGCCGCGUCUUAAGUGGGUUGCUGGGGUGGUGGGUCCUCCAGCUAGCAGCCCUCCAGGGUUUACUCUCCACCGCGAAGCGGCGUGCGGAGGUUCCCUAGAUUACCAAAAAAAAAAAAACUUAGCAAACUAAUAAGGCCAGGUUGCCAAUUACAAAUUGAUUGCUAUUCUUCUGUAUGUUAUUCUUUGUUUAAAUGGCUCUAUAGACUUACACAAAGCCUGGGCAGCCAUUGGUCUCCUUCUGUAAUUCUUGUUCAACAAUCUCUUCACAAAAUCAAUUGCUUUAGGGGAUCGAGAAGGCCAUGGGUCUUCAUCAAAACUUGGCUCUUCCUCACGAAUCGCCCAGAAUAUUUCAGAUUGAUUCUGCCCCCAAAAGGGUGGAUCACCACAUAGUAACAUAUAGGCAAUGACACCAAUACUCCACAUGUCUGCUUCAGUUCCGUAGAAUGCAUGUAGAACAUCAGGAGCUAUAGUAAAUUCGCUUCCCACAAAAUCCUUCAACUUGACAUUGCUUUGACUGCACUUUGCACAUUCUUAGAUCAAGAAUGGGAACCUUUCAAGUUUCUGCCUUUCUUUUUUCAUGCAUAACUAGCACUUAUGGCUUUUGAAAUUGAUUGUUCUGUUGUUGUAAUAAUUUGACAUCACUUUUCUUCUAUCCUGUUCGCUUGCUACGUUAAUUGUACUUAUUGUUCCUUGUGAUUUGGUCACUCCAGUGUCCUGCAUGCCCAACUUUUAUGUUUUUUUUUGCUCUUCUGCACUUUACUAUUGAAGCAGCUGCAAGCAUGAGAGUGAUUAUAGGAUGGUCUUAACUUUUUCGAGGUUCUUCAUUAUGGCUAUCGAUGCCUUAUAUAUAAACUAUUGUUUGGAAGAUAAAGUAGAAUAAACUUUUGCAUGCUGUGGGGUCUUCAUAGUUGUCUUUGUGAUAAUAUAUCGAAUGACCAAUGGACAAACAAAGGGGUUACUUAGAUGGUGAAUCUAUGUUGUGCGAUUCUAGUUAUUAAGAAAUACUCAUCAUUGCCAAGGUGGCAUGAGUUUACCUUCUUAAUGAUGAGCCAUGUUCAUCAUGUAAUUGUCUAAUGCGAAGUUUAAGCUUAUCUUUGCCCAAUGAUGGAUAUGUUUAGUUUGCACAUUCACUAUUAUUUUAGGUUUUGGAUGACCUAGUAUAAUGAAGGAUUUUUUUAUGCAAGUACAAUCUUUUUGCGUGUCUUUAUUUUUUCUCAAUGUUAGUUUUCUUUUCUUUAAGUGAAUAUCUUCUAGUUUUUUAAUAAGAGAGGGCCCGAGUGGUUGAUCUUGUUUGUUUGUCUCUUAAAUUUAUUCAUGUCACUUUACUAGUAGGAUGAGUUCAUCAAAGGAAAAUGCAUUUUGGAGCUCGGAAGAUGUAGAAAUCUUUUAUAAUUUGUGUAUCGAACAAAUUGAAAAAAACAAUCGUCCUGCAAAUAAUAAAAGAGAUGGAUAGACAGUCAUAAUUAGUAAGUUUGAGGAGCUAACGGAUAAAAAAUAUGAUAAACAAAAAAUGAAGAGUAAGUGGGAUAACCUCAAGGAAGAAUGGAAAAGAUGGAGGUCAUUGCUUUUCAAGGAAACUGGAUUAGGAUGGGAUUCAAGGAAGAAAACCAUUGAUGCGAGUGAUGAAUGGUGGGAGCGUAAAAUUCAGGUUUUCCUCCAUUCUUUUUAUUUUUUAUUUUUAUUUUUUAUUUUCAUGUUAAGCUCACCUUUAAUGAUACAACUUAUGUAAAUGCUUCAUUAUAACAGACCAAUCCAAAGUUUAAGACUUUUAGGAUGAAAGGCAUACAUCCUGAUCUUGAAGUAAAGUUAGAUAUGAUAUUCAGAGAUACAGUUGCUACUAGAGGAAUCACAUGGAAUCCCAAACAAGGUUUAUGUAUUGAUAAGAUGUGGAGAUCACACAACCUGGUAUCGAUGAUGUUGUAGGGUCUACUGAUGAAAACUUUGAGGAUCACAUGGAUGAAUCAACUGGAACUCAAACUCGUAAGAGAGCUACACAGACUUCAAAGAUGCAAGCUCGAGAAAAGAAAUAUAAGAAAUUGAGCACAAGAGAGGAGCUCAGAUCACAAAUUAACAGGCUGCUUACAGUUGUUGAUAGUAGGAGUACUACCAGCGCUGCAUCCAAUGCAACCGGUUUAGUCAAUCCUUAUGAGGACCUCAUAGAGAUAUUGGAUUCCAUACCUGAGAUUAUGGAAGACGAAGAUUUGUACUCUUUUUUUUCAAUUUCUCAUUUAAAGGAAAAGAUAUACAAUAGGCAAGUUUUCAUGAGCUUAAAGGAUAAUGCAAAGAAAGUAAAGUAUCUCAAAUAUGAAGUGAGAAAAGAAUCAAGUCUUCGUAGAUAGGAGAAUGUUAGCAUUUUAUUGUUUUCAUGUUUGAAACUUAGUCAUUUCACUUUGUUUCCAUCUAUGGAUCUUUCUUUGCAGCAUUUGUGAACCGAAUUUCAAUUAAUGUUUGAUGUUAGAAUUGUUUUCAUUUGGUGUUCUCUUAAUGUGAUAGUUUGCAUAUAUGCGAUGGUUAAUAUAUUGUUUAUGUUUAUAUUUUGUUACUUGAAACAGUUAUGGAUGAUUUAUGCGAUGGUUAAUACAUUGUUUCUUUUUAUAAUUUGUUACUUGAAGCAGUUAUGGAUGAUUCACAUACAAGGACAAAUCAUGAGUAAGAAGAAAAUGAAUUAUGAGAUCUUAUCUCAGUCACUGAAGCUGCAAUUCUUUAUCAAGCAACCAACCUUUGCAAACAACCUUGCAUGACCUUAACAUAUACAGGUUAUGUAUGGUUAAAAGAGUUGAUUGGCGAAUAUGCUAAUCCGAUAAGGUGCUACAAUAUGUUUAGAAUGCAUAAGAUUGUAUUUGACAAUUUAACGCAUGAUUUAGUAACACAUUAUAGCCCUCAAGGAUCUAGGAAUACUGAUGUUAGAGAAAUUGUUGGUAUGUUUCUUCAUAUUCUAGGGCAUGGUAUAAGGUUAUAGAUUAGCACAAGAGCAUUUUCAAUGCUUCGAGGAAACCAUAAGUAGGCACUUCAACUUAGUUUUAGAUAAAGUAUGUGAUAUGGGAAAAUUUUUGAUCCAACCAACUGAUCCACAAUAUAGAAAAAUUCUAGAGAAGAUCAAGAAAGAUCGGUGAUUUUAUCCAUAUUUUAAGGAUUGCAUUGGAGCUAUUGACGGCACACAUAUUCCAGCGGUUGUACAUAAGUAUGAUCAAAUUCGUUUUAUUGGUCGAAAAUGAACAACUCAAAACGUGUUAGCCAUAUGUAAUUUUAAUAUGGAAUUUGUCUAUGUUUGGGCUGGUUGGGAGGGACAAGCUCAUGAUACCCGUAUCUUUUAUGAAGCUAUUGGAAGACGUGAUACAGAUUUUCCCCAUCCUCCUCCAGGUAUGCUAGUCAAUGGUUUAGAUACAUUCAUAUAUCUAAUUGGCAUAUGUUGACUAAAUUUACAAUAUAUAUAUAUAUAUAUAUAUAUAUAUAUAUAUACAUGUAAAUAUUACUUAGUAGAUGCUGGAUAUCCAAAUCCUACUGGUUAUUUGGGGCCAUAUAAAGAAGUUAUAUAUUAUUUGCCAGAGUUUCAAGAAGGUCCUUCACCUACGGGAUAUCAAGAAGUGUUCAACCGUGCUUAUUCCUCACUACGCUCGACAAUUGAGCAGGCCUUUGGUGUAUUAAAAUAGAAGUGGAGGUUUUUAACUCAUAUGCCAAGUUAUCCAUAUGAAAAGCAAGUGCAAAUUGUGGUAGCGGUAAUGACUUUGCACAAUUAUAUCCAGAGAAAUAACGUGAUUGAUACGGAUUUUGAACAAGCAGAAUUGGAUCCCGAUUAUGGAUAUUCAAUUGACCAUGAUGAUGCAAAUGAAGGGGUGGGUGCUUCAAAUUCGUAUGCAUCUCCGGACAUUGCACUUUUACGUGAUGAAAUAGCCAUAAGUUUACAAAGUCGUUGAAGUUUGUAAUACUAAGUAUAACGUAUUUCUUUUUUCUGGAUAUAUAUGACCAUGUUUACUAUCAUGAAAUGACUAUUUUUAGUCAAAUUUGUAUGAGAUGAACUUGAUUUUAUUUCUCUUAAUUAGGACCUCCCUUUUUAUAUGUGGUGCUUACUAAAAAAAAUUAGCAUCUACAAUCGAUCACUUCACCAUCCACCGAAUAAGUUCAAUUUGUUUUAUAUCAUUUUAAUCUUUUGACAAUCAAUAGCCCCCAACUUUUUAUCAAUACACUAGAAUGAUCAUUAAUUAACGAAGAUGAUUAAUACUACAAUAAUUAAAAAAAAUAUUCAAAGUUAAAAACAAACCUAAAAGAACCUUAGGCUAAAAGUUAAGCUUUGCAUUUAAUCUAAAAUCAAAUUCUUUUAAUAUAAUUUUUAAUAAAUUUACUAAUAUGUAUAUUUUAUAUUACUCUCAACAUGAAAAUGUAAAAUGUUAUAUACCCAUUGUUUCUUUUUUGCAAUUUUAAAAAAACUAAAACUAAAACACUUAAUUUUAAAUGGUUGGCUUUUCAAAUGCAAGUUUACUGUACUUUUCAGUUUUAGUUUACCAAAUAGUCUAGCAUUUCAUAAAACCCUUUAUCUCAAAGGUAUUUGCAUUCUCCCAAGUGCAUUUUUCCAAAGCCGAACCAAACGAGCCCUAAAUAGAGGUACACGACCCUAUUCCAGAUUUAGAGAAACAACUCACCAAUGCUAGAACCACACACUUCUUGUGUCAGCGGCAUGACCGACGAAAUCACAAGGCUCGCAACUUGAACGGCGACGGUUCAUUGAAGUUGAGCUCAAAGCCAAGGGUGCUCGGCUUGAGCGGAUGGAGUGCAACGAUGAGGAUGAUGGUGAGCCGAGUGGAUGAUGAAGCUAUAGAAAAUGAAAGAAAAUAAAUGGAGGUGAAAGAAGGAUGGGGUGCUACAGUAGAAAUGGAGAAUGCGUGAGGGGGGAGAAAAAGAAAAGAAGAGGGGGGGGGGGGGGGUGAUGUCGUCCAGAGCCGAAAAGUGGGGAAGAGGAGAGAGAAAGAAUAAAGUAAUGGAGGGGAAGUUGCGGGGUAAUUGCAGUAGAAGGGUUGGCGAGGUGAGGGGGUGGAAAAGUGGGAGAGAGAGGGAGAAAAAGAAGAAAGAGAGAAGAAAAGACAGCAGAAGAAGUUACCGUAAG